GAUGAACGCUAGCGGCAGGCUUAACACAUGCAAGUCGAGGGGCAGCGCGGGAUAGCAAUAUCCUGGCGGCGACCGGCGGAAGGGUGCGUAACGCGUGAGCGACAUGCCCGUUGCCCGGGGACAACCGGUGGAAACGCCGACUAAUCCCCGAUGGGAUAUUGUGCCGCAUGGCACGAUAUUGAAAGUUACGGCGGCGACGGAUUGGCUCGCGUCCGAUUAGCUUGUUGGCGGGGUAACGGCCCACCAAGGCUGCGAUCGGUAGGGGUUCUGAGAGGAAGGCCCCCCACAAUGGGACUGAGACACGGCCCAUACUCCUACGGGAGGCAGCAGUGAGGAAUAUUGGUCAAUGGGCGGAAGCCUGAACCAGCCAUGCCGCGUGCGGGAAGGAGGCCCCAUGGGCUGUGAACCGCUUUUGCCUGGGGGCAAUAAGGGCGUCGCGCACGUCCGAUGAGAGUACCAGGCGAAUAAGCAUCGGCUAACUCCGUG
This 486-nucleotide ribosomal RNA is filed under the name uncultured bacterium. RNAcentral's name for it is "partial 16S ribosomal RNA". It matches the Rfam family "Bacterial small subunit ribosomal RNA", at positions 28 to 507 of the family's 1533-position model. The record is from RNAcentral.